AGCCGGGUCUUGCGCAAUGAUAUGGCUGUAAACUCCGCCAGGUCCGGAAGGAAGCAACGGCAACAGCUGGACUCAUGUGCCGCAAGGGUGCCUGGCUGUC
RNAcentral lists this signal recognition particle RNA (100 nucleotides) under bacterium. RNAcentral describes it as "signal recognition particle sRNA small type". It matches the Rfam family "Bacterial small signal recognition particle RNA". Rfam says of the family: The signal recognition particle (SRP) is a universally conserved ribonucleoprotein involved in the co-translational targeting of proteins to membranes. Archaeal SRP consists of a 7S RNA and homologues of the eukaryotic SRP19 and SRP54 proteins. The record is from RNAcentral.